Daphnia magna is the source of this 2513-nucleotide long non-coding RNA. RefSeq lists it as uncharacterized. The transcript has 9 exons. The record is from RefSeq and is a predicted model, not a curated record. NCBI's taxonomy places the organism in Eukaryota, Metazoa, Arthropoda, Branchiopoda, Diplostraca, Daphniidae.
AUAAGUCGGACGAUUCUUGCUUUAUAGUUCAUCUUCCGUCUGAGGUAGUUCCACAUCAAUAUUGAAUAAUUUCGUUACGAAUUCAAAUAGAAACAUUAAAUGGUAAAGCAAAGCAUAUACCAGUGAGGUAAUUAUAAUCAACAUAAUGACGAGAUGAGAAGAAUAUGGAUUGGAAAAGCCAGUUAACUGGAUCUGCAGUUGCUCAGAUGUCAACCAAUUAACGGUGUCUAUGAAUACUUUAAGGAAUUGUAUCUUGGAGAUUGCACAGAAUUUACGGAGGAAAAAUCCCACUUCAUAACAAAAAUUCUUUUGAUAAACAAGAAGACGUGCGAGGAAGAGUCAGCAAAGAAUGCAAAAUAACAAGACGGGAAAGAAAUAGUAAGACGGGAAAAAGAAGUCUAUCUCCAAGCACAUGUGACUCUAGUUGAGGAUAACCCUGUCAGAAGUGCUGGUGCAGAGUCUGUCUCAAUUUUCUCCUCAAGUAGGUAAAGGUUGAGACAGUAGCGGAAGUAGAGGAAAUUGCAAUAAAACCGGUUUUGAAAUUCUCGAACACGGAAUAAGCUAAUCAGGUUACGGUCAGUAAUGCAAUCCGACGCAUGCAGCAAUGUUUCAACAAAUACGAAAGUCAAAUGUCUCUUGGCCCAAUGUUUCAGGCCAAAAUGGAAGGCAAUAAUAUGUUAAGUGACCUUAACAAUGCCAAUAACCAAAGGUCAGUGAUACUGAUGUAUGCGGGUACGGAAAGUUUUUGAAGAGAGUGGAGAAUUCCGUCUUAUCCAAAAAAUUAAUUGUCAAGCAUAACAACCGGGAGAAACUUGGAGAACAGCAAAAGAACAACACACAGUAAUGCACAAUACCGGACGUUUAAUGUAUAUAUAUAUAUAUAUAUUAUUUUUCUUUCUUUGUUAUUACUUUCUAAGACCACCAAUUGGUUCUCUGUGUGUGUCGCCUAUCUCUACUAUGAUCUUUUUCCUUUUCUUAAAUUCUCGUUUUCCUUCUGUUCUUCUUCCUACGAUUUAGGGCUGAACGCUCUAGAAAGAGAAUUGACGAGUUCUCGUAAAUGUAUUUCUCGUAAAAAAAUCAUGCAUUUCUAUGAGCAACUCGCAUUUUAAUUUAUAAAUUCUUACAGAAGAUGGCGCUGUUGUCCCUCUGUAUGUGUAUGUGACAAGUGAACUUUGACAAGUGAAAUCCGUGUCUAUAUUUUUAGUUAACUGUGUUACAUUCCAAUGAAAAGUUUGAUCAAAUCUAAUGGUGUGGUUCCUACUUUUGAGAGUUUGUUCUUCUGUGUGCUUUUCAAGUGAAGCACAUUAAAUGGAUUAAUUUUGUGCAAAGAUUAAUCAGGUGGUCACUACAGCUAUGUUAGCUGUCACAGCCAAAAACUUCUGCAACUUAUUACUUUGCUAUCAUCAUGCUUUUCAAUUGUUUGUUGAUAGAAGUAGCUCGUAAAACCAAAAUUGCAAAGGAUGCUGACGGUGAAGGAAGGUUUCAAAUGGCACAAAUCCUAUGGGUUGGAAUGCCAUAAUUUCUUUGUGCUACUCUUUGUCCUUUCAUCAUGUUCCGUCAGUUCUGGUCUGAUAAAUGCUCCAUAUGUUGUGCUACAAACCAUUAACCUUCACCAUUUUGGCAGUCUUGUCAUUUCUACUGAAAGGUUCAAGUGACAGGAUUUUGUGUUGAGGACUUCUGCAAUUAAAAGUGCAAAGAAUGCUGGCCCUGAAGGAUGGUCACCAACGAUUCAAAAUUGAUGGAUUGGAAAACAUCAUGACAUUCUUAUGCUCUUGGCCUACUCAUUGUUUCAUCCAACACACGUGUUCGCCUCGCCCCGUCUUCGCUUUGUCUGUCGCCCUUCUUCGCCUUGUCCGUCGCCUCGUUUUCGCCUCGCCCGUCUUCGCCUUGUCCGUCGCCUCGUUUUCGCCUCGCCCGUCUUCGCCUUGUCCGUCGCCCCGUUUUCGCCUCGCCCGUCGCCCCGUUUUCGCCUCGCCCGUCGCCCCGUCUUCGCUUCGCCCGUCGCUCCGUCUUCACCUCGUGGUCGCCCCGUCAUCUCCUCGUCUUUGUGGUAUCGUUGUAUUUUGUAGUGUGUAAUUGUGUAAUGUUAAUUAACCCGUUGGCUGCCACCCACUUUGAUCCCCUUUUUUUUAAAGCUUGUUAGGGUCCGGCAGCGCUGUUCUGCCCAAUGGUCUAUAUGCCAUGGGUGGGACAGUUGCACAAGCCGUGUGGCUCAAAGUCGAUCGUCGAGGCAAUGUACCAGUAGGGACUUUCCCUUUUUCGAUGCUUUGAUGGUUGCCUGGAGUGUACAUUCUCACAAAGGCUUCUGUCAUCGUGUCAGCCCGGAUUUGUCGUAGGACAAGUCCCCCUUGGUCGCUAUCCAUUCGAUAGCGAUGUAGCUAGCGUAGGUUUAGUGGCGUGGCAGCCAACGGGUUAGUUUUAUGUAUGUGUGUUUUGUAUUGUAUUGUAUUUAAAAUCAAAAAUCUUGUGGUGGAUUUGUGGGUGGAUGGAGGGACAAUAAAGAAUUUUACAUA